Molecule: ribosomal RNA, 406 nt
Filed under: uncultured bacterium
Lineage: Bacteria
Description: partial 16S ribosomal RNA
Rfam family: Bacterial small subunit ribosomal RNA
Source: RNAcentral
AUUGAACGCUGGCGGCAGGCCUAACACAUGCAAGUCGAACGAGUGGCGGACGGGAGAGUAAUGUCUGGGAAACUGCCUGAUGGAGGGGGAUAACUACUGGAAACGGUAGCUAAUCCCGCAUACCAUCAGAUUUGCCCAGAUGGGCUUAGCUAGUAGGUGGUGUAAAGGCUCACCUAGGCGACGAUCCCUAGCUGGUCUGAGAGGAUGACCGGCAACACUGGAACUGAGACACGGUCCAGAUUCCUACGGGAGGCAGCAGUGGGGAAUAUUGGACAAUGGGCGAAAGCCUGAUGCAGCCAUGCCGGGUGUAUGAAGAAGGCCUUGGGGUUGUAAAGUACUUUCAGCGGGGAGGCGUUACCCGCAGAAGAAGCACCGGCUAACUCCGUGCCAGCAGCCGCGGUAAUAC